RNAcentral lists this ribosomal RNA (166 nucleotides) under uncultured bacterium. RNAcentral describes it as "partial 16S ribosomal RNA". It matches the Rfam family "Bacterial small subunit ribosomal RNA", at positions 524 to 688 of the family's 1533-position model. The record is from RNAcentral.
UACGGAGGGUGCAAGCGUUAAUCGGAAUUACUGGGCGUAAAGCGCGCGUAGGUGGUUUGAUAAGCGAGAUGUGAAAGCCCCGGGCUUAACCUGGGAACGGCAUUUCGAACUGUCAGGCUAGAGUAUGGUAGAGGAGUGUGGAAGUUUCCUGUGUUAGAGCGGAAGU